RNAcentral lists this ribosomal RNA (1020 nucleotides) under uncultured Methylophilus sp. RNAcentral describes it as "bacterial SSU rRNA". It matches the Rfam family "Bacterial small subunit ribosomal RNA", at positions 1 to 1006 of the family's 1533-position model. The record is from RNAcentral. Lineage: Bacteria; Pseudomonadati; Pseudomonadota; Betaproteobacteria; Nitrosomonadales; Methylophilaceae.
UAACCAAGUUUCGAUAAUAGAAAAAGAGAUAGGAACGCUGGCGGAAUGCUUUACACAUGCCAUUCCAAAAAAGAUGAACCCUAGCUUGCUAGGGGGAUUAGUGGCGAACGGGUGAGUAAUAUAUCGGAACGUGCCUUGUAAUGGGGGAUAACUAGUCGAAAGAUUAGCUAAUACCGCAUACGCCCUGAGGGGGAAAGUAGGGGAUCUUCGGACCUUACGUUAUAAGAGCGGCCGAUAUCUGAUUAGCUAGUUGGUGGGGUAAUGGCCUACCAAGGCUUCGAUCAGUAGCUGGUCUGAGAGGACGACCAGCCACACUGGAACUGAGACACGGUCCAGACUCCUACGGGAGGCAGCAGUGGGGAAUUUUGGACAAUGGGCGCAAGCCUGAUCCAGCCAUUCCGCGUGAGUGAAGAAGGCCUUCGGGUUGUAAAGCUCUUUCGCAAGGGAAGAAAACUUACUUUCUAAUAAAGAGUGAGGCUGACGGUACCUUGAUAAGAAGCACCGGCUAACUACGUGCCAGCAGCCGCGGUAAUACUUAGGGUGCGAGCGUUAAUCGGAAUUACUGGGCGUAAAGCGUGCGCAGGCGGUUUGGUAAGUCAGAUGUGAAAUCCCCGAGCUCAACUUGGGAACUGCGUUUGAAACUGCCAGACUAGAAUAUGUCAGAGGGGGGUAGAAUUCCACGUGUAGCAGUGAAAUGCGUAGAGAUGUGGAGGAAUACCAAUGGCGAAGGCAGCCCCCUGAGACAAUAUUGACGCUCAUGCACGAAAGCGUGGGGAGCAAACAGGAUUAGAUACCCUGGUAGUCCACGCCCUAAACGAUGUCUACUAGUUGUUGGUGAGUAAAUCCAUGAGUAACGCAGCUAACGCGUGAAGUAACCCGCCUGGGGGAGUACCGUCGCAGAUUUAAACUCAAGGAUAUUGACGGGGGGCCCCGCCACAGCGGUUGUAUUAUGUGGAUUAAUUCGAUGCAUCGCGACAUACCUUUACUGGCCCUUGGACAUUGCCCACUAACCGAACCAUA